Molecule: regulatory RNA element, 47 nt
Organism: Felis catus (domestic cat)
Lineage: Eukaryota; Metazoa; Chordata; Mammalia; Carnivora; Felidae
Rfam family: Histone 3' UTR stem-loop
About the family: The mRNAs of metazoan histone genes lack a poly-A tail.
Source: Rfam
ACAAAGGCUCUUUUCAGAGCCACUUAAGCCAUCAAAGAGAAAGCUGG